This 301-nucleotide ribosomal RNA is filed under the name uncultured bacterium. RNAcentral's name for it is "partial 16S ribosomal RNA". It matches the Rfam family "Bacterial small subunit ribosomal RNA", at positions 509 to 807 of the family's 1533-position model. The record is from RNAcentral.
CAGCAGCCGCGGUAAUACGAAGGGGGCUAGCGUUGUUCGGAAUUACUGGGCGUAAAGCGCACGUAGGCGGAUAUUUAAGUCAGGGGUGAAAUCCCAGAGCUCAACUCUGGAACUGCCUUUGAUACUGGGUAUCUUGAGUAUGGAAGAGGUGAGUGGAAUUCCGAGUGUAGAGGUGAAAUUCGUAGAUAUUCGGAGGAACACCAGUGGCGAAGGCGGCUCACUGGUCCAUUACUGACGCUGAGGUGCGAAAGCGUGGGGAGCAAACAGGAUUAGAUACCCGAGUAGUCCCUGUCUCUUAUAC